UACGAAGGGGGCUAGCGUUGUUCGGAUUUACUGGGCGUAAAGCGCACGUAGGCGGAUUGUUAAGUCGGGGGUGAAAUCCUGGAGCUCAACUCCAGAAUUGCCUUCGAUACUGGCUUUCUAGAGGCUGGAAGAGGUUAGUGGAAUUCCCAGUGUAGAGGUGAAAUUCGUAGAUAUUGGGAAGAACACCAGUGGCGAAGGCGGCUAACUGGUCCAGAUCUGACGCUGAGGUGGCGAAAAGCGUGGGGGAGCAAACAGG
This 256-nucleotide ribosomal RNA is filed under the name uncultured bacterium. Its description in RNAcentral is "partial 16S ribosomal RNA". It matches the Rfam family "Bacterial small subunit ribosomal RNA", at positions 524 to 776 of the family's 1533-position model. The record is from RNAcentral.